CCCCUAGACGUUCUGGGCUGCACGCGCGCUGCAAUAAUACGCACAGCGAGUAUCACCGAGCUCGAAAGGGCAAGGUAAACAAUAGAAAAGGUACUGUAAUGGUUAUAGAUCCUUGUAAUUAUUGAUCUUCAACGAGGAAUUCCUAGUAAGUAUGUGUCAUCAUCACGCACUGAUUACGUCCCUGCCCUUUGUACACACCGCCCGUCGCUCCUACCGAUUGAGUGAGCCGAUGAAACUGCCGGAUGUGGACUAUUCAUAGUCUGCAGAAGAUAUUUGAAUCGUAGCGCUUAGAGGAAGGAGAAGUCGUAACA
RNAcentral lists this ribosomal RNA (311 nucleotides) under uncultured eukaryote. RNAcentral's name for it is "partial 18S ribosomal RNA". It matches the Rfam family "Eukaryotic small subunit ribosomal RNA", at positions 1470 to 1796 of the family's 1831-position model. The record is from RNAcentral.